Long non-coding RNA from Balaenoptera ricei (Rice's whale), 475 nucleotides. RefSeq lists it as uncharacterized. NCBI's taxonomy places the organism in Eukaryota, Metazoa, Chordata, Mammalia, Artiodactyla, Balaenopteridae. The transcript is spliced from 3 exons. The record is from RefSeq and is a predicted model, not a curated record.
CCAAGAAACACAAGGGCUGGCCCCAAAGCAGAAAGGCUGGAAGCAAAGGACCUUCAAAGGGCUUCCUACGAGUCAACUGUGACCUGGCUGCUCACGGGACCCCGAAUGUCCCCACGUUGGAAAGCACUGGGAGAGAAGAUAAAGAAGGAGAGGGUGUCAUACACUGCAAUUUUCCACUGGUGGUCUCGAGAUAGUCUGAGUAAACCAAUUUAAAAAGUGAGUCGAGGGCUUCCCUGGUGGUGCAGUGGCUGGGAAUCCGCCUGCCAAUGCAGGGGACACGGGUUCGAGCCCUGGUCCGGGAGGAUCCCACAUGCCGCGGAGCAAUUAAGCCUGUGAGCCACAACUGCUGAGGCCUGCGCGCCUGGAGCCCAUGCUCCACAACAAGAGAAGCCACCGCAAUGAGAAGCCUGCACACCGCAGCGAGGAGUGGCCCCCGCUCACCGCAACUAGAGAAAAGCUGGCGCACAGCAACGAA